AAAAUCCGUCGACUUUAGAAAUCGUGAGGGUUCAAGUCCCUCUAUCCCCAAAAAGUCCAUUUCAUUCCCUAAUUAUUUAUCCUAUCCUC
RNAcentral lists this transfer RNA (89 nucleotides) under Icacina mannii. Its description in RNAcentral is "partial tRNA-Leu". Lineage: Eukaryota; Viridiplantae; Streptophyta; Magnoliopsida; Icacinales; Icacinaceae. The record is from RNAcentral.